UUAAAAAAGAUCCCUCAAGCUGUUUGAGGACUGAAUCAGAAAGUCCUGAGCAAAGGAACAAAGGAAAUAAGGUUCUGUAUCAGAAGUCAGGAAACAUGCUGUGUGCUUCGGACCAUGCGUGCAACUAGUAAGACAUGAGUUUGGCUUUAUGAAGCAUCUGUAGUUCACUGUGGAAGAUGUAAGGAAAUAAUCUCCAUACUGAUUUCUGCAAUGUUUGACCUAAUUGAGAAGCUUUGGAUCUGAGAGGACUUAGAGGAAGGAGUGUGGGGAGGCAAUAUCCCUGAAUGAAGACGGAGCAGGCAGCAGCAACACAGGAACCUGCUUCCUCAAGUUAAAUCUGUGGUCUGGACGACAGCGUAAGCUAGACUCCCUUACAACUUAAGAGAGUCACAAAAGGAAAGCCUCUUGGAUCUUCAUGUUGUACCUGUUUUCUACAGAGCCAUCUCAUAACUCAUAUGAAAACAAAGCACAGGCCUCAUCACCUUGAUGUCCGUGUUAAGGCAAACAACCGGAUGUAAUGCAUCACACUGCCAGACUCCAGGCUGACAUCAAGACAACUGCUUCCAAAUUAUCUCACUUAAGCAAAAGUUGAAGGUUUUAAAAAUUCUGUGUAUAACAAAUUAAUCAGGUGACAUAGUUUAAUUUAAAGAAUAAUAGGAUAAAUUUCUGAUUAAUGCUUCUAAUGAUACUUAGGUCAAUU
Long non-coding RNA from Peromyscus eremicus (cactus mouse), 700 nucleotides. RefSeq lists it as uncharacterized. The transcript is spliced from 4 exons. The record is from RefSeq and is a predicted model, not a curated record. NCBI's taxonomy places the organism in Eukaryota, Metazoa, Chordata, Mammalia, Rodentia, Cricetidae.